RNAcentral lists this ribosomal RNA (373 nucleotides) under uncultured bacterium. Its description in RNAcentral is "bacterial SSU rRNA". It matches the Rfam family "Bacterial small subunit ribosomal RNA", at positions 527 to 898 of the family's 1533-position model. The record is from RNAcentral.
GGAGGAUGCAAGCGUUAUCCGGAAUUAUUGGGCGUAAAGGGUCCGCAGGUGGUUGAACAAGUCUGCUGUCAAAGCGCGGAGCUUAACUCCGUACGGGCGGUGGAAACUGUUUAACUGGAGUACGGUAGGGGUAGCGGGAAUUCCCAGUGUAGCGGUGAAAUGCGUAGAUAUUGGGAAGAACACCAGCGGCGAAAGCGCGCUACUGGGCCUGUACUGACACUGAGGGACGAAAGCUAGGGGAGCGAAAGGGAUUAGAUACCCCUGUAGUCCUAGCUGUAAACGAUGGAUACUAGGUGUUGCCCGUAUCGACCCGGGCAGUGCCGUAGCUAACGCGUUAAGUAUCCCGCCUGGGGAGUACGCACGCAAGUGUGAA